UACAGAGGUGGCAAGCGUUGUUCGGAAUUACUGGGCGUAAAGGGCGCGUAGGUGGCCUUCUUAGUCAGACGUGAAAUCCCCGGGCUUAACUCGGGAACUGCGUCUGAUACUGGAAGGCUGGAGUUCGGGAGAGGAAUGUGGAAUUCCAGGCGUAGCGGUGAAAUGCGUAGAUAUCUGGAGGAACACCGGUGGCGAAGGCGGCAUUCUGGACCGAAACUGACGCUGAGGCGCGAAAGCCAGGGGAGCAAACGGG
Molecule: ribosomal RNA, 253 nt
Filed under: uncultured bacterium
Lineage: Bacteria
Description: partial 16S ribosomal RNA
Rfam family: Bacterial small subunit ribosomal RNA
Source: RNAcentral